GCCGGAGCAGCGGGGAAAUGUAGCCCCUUCCCUUUCCCCUUCCCCUUCGGCGGCUGGAAGGCAGAAGUCGCGCUGUCACAUGGCCCCCGGCCGGCGCGGCAGGCAGGCAGGGAGGGAAGGCGGGGAGGGAGCCCAGCCCCACCUGGAUUCGCCUCAGCGGUGCCGCCUUCCCGAGCGCCUGGUUCAAAACUCCUCGAAAAGCGCUUUAACGUAGAAAACUUGGGUUCGAGACCAGAAAGUCGGGAGGUUAGUGCAGAAUGACAGCCGUAACUCUGAAUGUCUUCAUCAGCUGCUGCUGGCAACACCCUGACAAAGUAUCUGCCACCCAGAAAACCACAUACUCUUGGCACAUCAGUCUUGCCUCUGUACUCGAUUUAAUCUCUUCUGUGGGAUGCAAGAGCUUGGCAGAGUUCCCUCCCGUGCUGACUUUGUGCCAACCGCAGUGA
This 446-nucleotide long non-coding RNA is filed under the name Cyanistes caeruleus (blue tit). RNAcentral describes it as "lncRNA (ENSCCEG00000017979.1)". Lineage: Eukaryota; Metazoa; Chordata; Aves; Passeriformes; Paridae. The record is from RNAcentral.